CGGGGUGGAGUAACGCGUGAGGAACCUGCCUCAAAGAGGGGGACAACAGUUGGAAACGACUGCUAAUACCGCAUAAGCCCACAGCUCGGCAUCGAGCAGAGGGAAAAGGAGCAAUCCGCUUUGAGAUGGCCUCGCGUCCGAUUAGCUAGUUGGUGAGGUAACGGCCCACCAAGGCGACGAUCGGUAGCCGGACUGAGAGGUUGAACGGCCACAUUGGGACUGAGACACGGCCCAG
RNAcentral lists this ribosomal RNA (235 nucleotides) under uncultured bacterium. RNAcentral's name for it is "partial 16S ribosomal RNA". It matches the Rfam family "Bacterial small subunit ribosomal RNA", at positions 104 to 334 of the family's 1533-position model. The record is from RNAcentral.